AUAAUGUAUACAAAGAGAUUAGUUUGCUGCUUAGCUACUGGUUAAGGGAAGCAUCUCUGGUGUGUUUUGAGUCUGGUCCAUGUGAUUAAUGAUGUCACAAUGCCCUACUAGACUCCGACUUCUCCAUUAGGGAGUUGCGGAUCCUUUGGAGCCAAGGAAUGGAACUGACAUGCAAGAUCUCUAUCAACUGAAGGUUUCAUGAGCACGCUCCUUUGCCAAGAUCUUGGUGAAUAGUCUCUCACUGUGCGAUUAUAUUUUAGAAAUUAUUUUCCUUUUUAUCAUGAUUGUACUUGGCUGGAUGCUUUUUGUUGGAUUUGCAUGUUACAUGGGCACAUUUCCAGAGUUUGUGCCUCCACCUCUAAAGUGGAAACAGAAGUGGCCCAUUCGUGAGAGCAAGGCACGACGGAGGAGCCGGGCUUUGGAGGAAGAUCUGUCACUGAUUUCCAAGAGAGCAUUGGCCCAAAGGAGUCAGACCUUUGUGAGGAGCGUGGGGAUGUGGAUGGAAGAACUGAAAACAUAUUUAGCUGAGACAUUGCCACAUUGUGUAAUCCUGAUCACUUAAACAACUCUAUGCCUAUUUCUUCAGCUGUGAAAUGAACAUAAUAGUCCAUCUUUCUUGUCUUCUUUUCCCACAGUAGUUGUAAGGUUUAUGCUGCCUGAUGAAAAUUGCAUUUCACAAAAUGCAAGAAUUUUCCUUUUUGAACAGCCUAACAAUAGCAUUAAAGUUAAUUGCUCAUAGUAUACCUAACCAGUUAAUUCCUUCAAUAAAUCCAGGAUGGUUUUGUUUUUUUUGAAUAGUGAUUUUUUUUUUGUAUCAGAUUGUUAAAGCCACUAGUUAUAUAUUUUAGUAUGCAAUGAGUUGUUAUUAAGGAUGUGAUGUUACUGAGAUCCUAAACAGUCACUAGAGUAUAAGGGCCCUUUUGAUAAGGUUUCUUUAGCUCCAACAUAUGUGGCAUCCUGGCCAACCAUCCCAUAGCUGUGCACUGUGAUUUUUUUUUCCAUAGUGUCACAGGGGCUGAUGUCACAAUUGGUAUCUGAGCCCUGCCCCCCAAAAUGGCCAUGGAGAGCCAUUUUAGUUUAGAGUAGACCCCAGAGACCCUCAACCAGGAGCUGUCAUGCUGGGCCAUCCAUCCUCUAGUCUCUAAUGAAGACAGCCCAGUUCCCAGAACUCAGGGAAUAGAACACUACCUUCCAGAACCACCCAUUUCCCUAGGCACACACCACCAGCUGAGCAAGAAGCCCCACAAUGAUCGUUAUCUUAUGGUUGCUUCUCAUUGCAGGAACGAUGUGGAAGGGAUUUAAAUAUCCCCCAGGAGGGACCCCUGUGGAAGUAAGCAAGGAUGAUCCUGGUGAAGUAAUGCAGCUCUGAAGCUCACCUGACUAGCUGUACAGUUCCUGUUGUUGGUUUCUCAUAAAGUAAUUGCACAUUAUUUUGUCAUAUUUUAUGUCCAGUUCCGCACUUUUUAAGAUGAACAAAGACGGUAUUAUUAUAACAGGAAGGUAGAGGGUAAGAAGGUGGUAGGAGAUGAUUGGGUCCCUUCCAAGGCAAUUUUGUGUCCCCUACUCAAUUUCCUUAAGGAUAGAAAUUUCUAGAGCUCUUUAGACCUACUUUCCAAAUAAUAUUCUCCUCCUAAGUACUGUUAACAAAAAAGGGCUAGAGGUUACAGCAACUUUAAGCCUGUUCUUUGUAGGCAUUUCUCUGUAGCCUUUUUAGUUAUUACUAAGAACACAAAGUUUACCCCAUGUGGGGAAAGGAACUCAUUUUAAAAUUGAGAACAGAUACUAAAAUAUACAUAUUAGCCUUCCGAAACUGGGUGUUAACUUUGCAAUGUGGCAGAAAUUGAGAGGCUUAAAUAUCUUUCCAACAUAGCUCUAGGCCGAAGUCAAGAUUAAGACCCAGGCCUUGUCCAGUACAUGCUUUUAUGUGCUAAGGCAAGUCCAAUGAGAAUGACUGGGAUAUCUUGAGAUUUUGUUACCUAAAUGUCUAUCACCUGAAGACAAGAAGCUGCCUGAUAAUUCCUCAAAGCCAGUAUAUGCAGACAUAAAAGCUAACGGCUCAGACCUCCAUAUGGUACAGAGUAGUUUAUGAAACCGGGAUGGAAACUGAGUUAAGAAACCUAUUUGAUUAAUAAAUUUAAGUGUAGGAACACUAGAAUUUUGGGGGGGAUGCUGGGGAUUGACUACAGGGUCUCUCACAUGCCAGGCUAGCAUUUUACCACUGAGCUACAUCCCUAGCCCUGAACCCUAGGAUCUUUAUAAGCCCUCUGAAAGUGGUUUGAGGAUUUCAAUUAACACUCAGGAAGUGGGAACACAGGUUAGGGAUUGUAAUUCUAAUGCUCUAGAGAACUGCAUCCUUUCCAGCAAAGCAGAUAUUUUGGUUAGAGUGUCAAUGGUUUGGAUGUGAGAUGUCCCCAAAAGGUUCAUAUGAAAAAUGCAAGAAUGCUCAGAGGUAAAAUGAUCAGAUUAUAAGAGCUUUAACCUAAUCAGUGGCUUAAUGGUUUAAUUAAUCUGAGUGGAUUACUAGGUUAGGUAACUAAUAGACAGGUGAGAUGUGGCUAGAGGAAGCAGGUCAUUGGGGUGCCUUUGGGGAUUAUAUAUUUUGUCCCUGGCUCCUCUCUUCUUCUUCCUUCUGAGUUGCCAUGAGCUUAGCAGCUUUUCUCUGCCCACCUUUUUGUCAUGUUAUUCUGCCUCACUAUGGUCCCAGAACAAUGGAAUCAGCUGACCAUGGACUGAGACUUAGUGAAACUGAGUCCAAAAUAAACUAGUCAGUUUGGUUAUAGUGACAAAAAGCUCACACAAGAUUACUUGGUACAUGUUUACUAAACUAUUUGUAAGUGGCUCUUCACAAUGAAUGGAUUUUUCUUUUUAUGAAAAAUAAAAUGAAUUUGAAAUCCAUAAACACAACUACUAUAAUUUCUGAAUGUAUUAUUCUAGCCACUUUACAGUUCUCUUAACUUGGGUAUCUGAGAGCACAACAGGACUUAAGCUGGUAAAAGAAGAGAGAGAUCAGUGGUAGGGGCUGAAGAGACAUGAAUGUAUAACAGAGAACAAGCAGAGAAGUGUGUACGGGAGACAAACCCAACCCCUAAAGUCUGAAAAAUCUAGGGAGAUUUUAGCUAGAAAAUUGUUUAAUAUGAUAAGGAAUAACUCAAAGUUUUGAUCAAUAAAUGCAAAUCACUAAAAAUAUCAAUAAAAUCUUUAAUGCCUACAAUUUCUUGUAUACAUAAAUUGCAAAACAUUCACCUGUAUAUGCAAAAGUAUUUUCUCUUGCAGGUCAACAGCACCAGAAAACAAGCUAAGCUAUGUAAAGGUUGUUUUUUUU
Molecule: non-coding RNA, 3322 nt
Organism: Ictidomys tridecemlineatus (thirteen-lined ground squirrel)
Lineage: Eukaryota; Metazoa; Chordata; Mammalia; Rodentia; Sciuridae
Source: RefSeq, a predicted model, not a curated record